UCUCCCACUUCACCCAGCUACAGCCCCACAUCACCCAGCUAUAGCCCAACAUCUCCCAGCUACAGCCCUACAUCUCCCAGCUAUAGCCCCACUUCACCUGCUUACAGCCCAACUUCACCAGCAUACAGCCCCACUUCACCUGCAUACAGUCCUACUUCUCCAUCAUAUAGCCCAACAUCACCUUCCUAUAGUCCAACUUCGCCUUCCUACAGCCCCACAUCACCCUCUUACAGCCCGACAUCUCCUUCAUAUAGUCCCACGUCACCUGCUUACAGUCCCACUUCUCCUGGGUACAGCCCCACAUCACCCUCUUACAGCCCAACAUCACCAUCAUAUAGUCCUACUUCCCCAAGUUACAAUCCAC
RNAcentral lists this long non-coding RNA (364 nucleotides) under Cicer arietinum (chickpea). Its description in RNAcentral is "long non-coding RNA (CARI_LNC002565)". The record is from RNAcentral. Lineage: Eukaryota; Viridiplantae; Streptophyta; Magnoliopsida; Fabales; Fabaceae.